UGUCCAGCUUACACUGGUGACUUAGUGG
RNAcentral lists this non-coding RNA (28 nucleotides) under Homo sapiens (human). The record is from RNAcentral. Lineage: Eukaryota; Metazoa; Chordata; Mammalia; Primates; Hominidae.